UCCUACGGGAGGCAGCAGUGGGGAAUAUUGGACAAUGGGCGAAAGCCUGAUCCAGCCAUGCCGCGUGUGUGAAGAAGGCCUUAGGGUUGUAAAGCACUUUAAGCAGGAAAGAAAAGCGCCGAGUUAAUAGCUCGAGCGUGUUGACGGUACCUGCAGAAUAAGCACCGGCUAACUCCGUGCCAGCAGCCGCGGUAAUACGGAGGGUGCAAGCGUUAAUCGGAAUUACUGGGCGUAAAGCGAGUGCAGGCGGUUGCGUAUGUCGGAUGUGAAAGCCCCGGGCUCAACCUGGGAAUUGCAUUCGAAACUGCGUAACUAGAAUAUGGUAGAGGAAGACGGAAUUCCACGUGUAGCGGUGAAAUGCGUAGAUAUGUGGAGGAACACCAAUGGCGAAGGCAGUCUUCUGGGCCAAUAUUGACGCUGAGGCUCGAAAGCGUGGGUAGCAAACAGGAUUAGAUACCCUGGUAGUCCACGCCGUAAACGAUGAGAACUAGACGUUGGGCGACAUAGUCGCUCAGUGUCACAGCAAACGCGUUAAGUUCUCCGCCUGGGGAGUACGGCCGCAAGGUUGAAACUCAAUGAAUUGACGG
This 587-nucleotide ribosomal RNA is filed under the name uncultured bacterium. Its description in RNAcentral is "bacterial SSU rRNA". It matches the Rfam family "Bacterial small subunit ribosomal RNA", at positions 337 to 916 of the family's 1533-position model. The record is from RNAcentral.